CGGUAACAGGUCUUCGGAUGCUGACGAGUGGCGGACGGGUGAGUAAUGCGUAGGAAUCUGUCUUUUAGUGGGGGACAACCCAGGGAAACUUGGGCUAAUACCGCAUGAGCCCUGAGGGGGAAAGCGGGGGAUCUUCGGACCUCGCGCUAAGAGAGGAGCCUACGUCCGAUUAGCUAGUUGGCGGGGUAAAGGCCCACCAAGGCGACGAUCGGUAGCUGGUCUGAGAGGACGACCAGCCACACUGGGACUGAGACACGGCCCAGACUCCUACGGGAGGCAGCAGUGGGGAAUUUUUCGCAAUGGGGGCAACCCUGACGAAGCAAUGCCGCGUGGAUGAAGAAGGCCUUCGGGUUGUAAAGUCCUUUCGUGGAGGACGAAAAGGUGGGUUCUAAUACAAUCUGCUAUUGACGUGAAUCCAAGAAGAAGCACCGGCUAACUCUGUGCCAGCAGCCGCGGUAAUACGGGGGGUGCAAGCGUUAAUCGGAAUCACUGGGCGUAAAGGGUGCGUAGGCGGUACGUUAGGUCUGUCGUGAAAUCCCCGGGCU
RNAcentral lists this ribosomal RNA (545 nucleotides) under uncultured bacterium. Its description in RNAcentral is "bacterial SSU rRNA". It matches the Rfam family "Bacterial small subunit ribosomal RNA", at positions 67 to 609 of the family's 1533-position model. The record is from RNAcentral.